Molecule: ribosomal RNA, 159 nt
Filed under: Aspergillus ruber
Lineage: Eukaryota; Fungi; Ascomycota; Eurotiomycetes; Eurotiales; Aspergillaceae
Description: partial 28S ribosomal RNA
Source: RNAcentral
GUGGCGGCACCAUGUCUGGUCCUCGAGCGUAUGGGGCUUUGUCACCCGCUCCCGUAGGUCCAGCUGGCAGCUAGCCUCGCAACCAAUCUUUUUAACCAGGUUGACCUCGGAUCAGGUAGGGAUACCCGCUGAACUUAAGCAUAUCAAUAGCCGGAGGAA